UGAGCAAUCUGCCCUUCUCAUCGGAAUAAGCGUUGGAAACGACGUCUAAUGCCGAAUACGACCUCCUUUCGCAUGAUCGGAGGUGGAAAGCUCCGGCGGAGAAGGAUGAGCUCGCGGCCUAUCAGCUAGUUGGUGGGUAAUGGCCCACCAAGGCGACGACGGGUAGCCGGCCUGAGAGGGUGACCGGCCACACUGGGACUGAGACACGGCCCAGACCUCCUACGGGAGGNAGCG
Molecule: ribosomal RNA, 234 nt
Filed under: uncultured bacterium
Lineage: Bacteria
Description: partial 16S ribosomal RNA
Rfam family: Bacterial small subunit ribosomal RNA
Source: RNAcentral